RNAcentral lists this ribosomal RNA (490 nucleotides) under uncultured bacterium. Its description in RNAcentral is "bacterial SSU rRNA". It matches the Rfam family "Bacterial small subunit ribosomal RNA", at positions 28 to 479 of the family's 1533-position model. The record is from RNAcentral.
GAUGAACGCUGGCGGCGUGCCUAAUACAUGCAAGUCGAACGCAUUGUGGUUGAAAUGAUAUGAAGAACUUGUUCAGAUUUGAUUUUCAACAUUGCAAUGAGUGGCGAACGGGUGAGUAACACGUGGGAAACCUACCUCUUAGCAGGGGAUAACAUUUGGAAACAAAUGCUAAUACCGUAUAAUAAUUAAAACCGCAUGGUUUUAGUUUAAAAGAUGGUCUUGCUAUCACUAAGAGAUGGUCCCGCGGUGUAUUAGUUAGUUGGUGAGGUAAUGGCUCACCAAGACAAUGAUACAUAGCCGAGUUGAGAGACUGACCGGCCACAAUGGGACUGAGACACGGCCCAUACUCCUACGGGAGGCAGCAGUAGGGAAUCUUCCACAAUGGACGAAAGUCUGAUGGAGCAACGCCGCGUGUGUGAUGAAGGGUUUCGGCUACGUAAAACACUUGUUGUAAAGAGAAGAAUGACAUUGAGAGUAACUGUUACAAUGU